Molecule: transfer RNA, 73 nt
Filed under: Stegodyphus mimosarum
Lineage: Eukaryota; Metazoa; Arthropoda; Arachnida; Araneae; Eresidae
Rfam family: tRNA
About the family: Transfer RNA (tRNA) molecules are approximately 80 nucleotides in length.
Source: Rfam by way of RNAcentral
GCUUUCGUGGUGUAGUGGUAAGCACGCUCGACGCGUAACCGAGAGGUCCGUGGUUCGAUUCCCGGCGAAGGGG